This 1805-nucleotide long non-coding RNA is filed under the name Marmota monax (woodchuck). The record is from RNAcentral. Lineage: Eukaryota; Metazoa; Chordata; Mammalia; Rodentia; Sciuridae.
AAAUAAAGUCAGCAUAAUAUACCAAUAAAUACAUGCCUAUGUUUAUAGCAACAUAGUUGACUAUAGCCAAACUAUGGAACCAGCCUAGGUGUCCAUCAACAAAUGAAGUAAAUAUACACAAUGGAGUUCUACUCAGCAAUAAAAAAGAACAAAAUUGUGUCAUUUUUAGGAAAAUAGAUGGAACUAGAGAGCAUCACCGUAUUAAGUGAAAUAAGCCAGACUCAGAAAGUCAGGUGUUAUUUUUUCUCAUAAAUGGAAGCUAGAGAGAAAAAAGAAGUCUCAUGAAAAUAGAAGAGAGCUCAAUAGGAUAAAGGAAGAGGAUCAAUAGGAGGGGAGUACAAGAGAAGGUCCUAGGGAAUGAAAUUGAAAUUGAACCAAUCAUAUGCACAUAUGAAUAUAUAACAGUGAAUUCUCUAUUAUGCGUAGUUAUUAUGCAUCAAUAAUUUUUUUAAAUUACAUUGCAAGACUUCCCUUAUUUACUUAUUUUUAAAUUUUUUGUGGAGAUCCCAGAGCCUUGCACUUGUUAGGCAAGUGCUCAGCCACUGAAUUACAAUAGGAUUAUAUCCCAGUAAAACCAUUGUAAAUUGAGAAUACAUUGUCAAAAAAUGCAUUUAAUGCCUUAAACUACUGAACAUCAUAGCUUGGCAACUCAAGGCAUUGUAGUGUCAGUGAUUUCCCCUUCUGAUCACAUGACUGAACACAAAUCUCUAGCCAAGGAAAAUAUCAAAUUUCAAAACUCCAUAUGUGAUUUCUACUGAAAUCGCAUCCCUUUCACACCAUUUUAAAGCCAUUAAGUAGGUUGGGGACUGACUAGAUUUGUGUACCUGCUACAAUGGAACUACCAUGUGUUGUUUCCUUUUUCACCAGGCCUGACCUUGGAAUUAUUUGCUCUUUCCUGCCUUUCCCACACCUGGGGGGAAGCACAUUAGUGCUUAGGUCAUAUAGUGGCUCCAAAUUCUAGUCUUUUUUUUUUUUUUUUUUAAUUUAUUUAUUUUUCGGUGGACACAACAUCUUUGUUUGUAUGUGGUGCUGAGGAUAGAACCCAGCACAUUAUCUCCUCUUUGCUUCAGGGGUGGGAGCAUCAUGGUUGCGGGCUCCCCUACUCUGUAUUUCUUAGGCUCUGUCUCUAUGUUGGCUUGGAGGUCCUGGACUCACCACAGCUUCCAGAGCAGGUACUCUCCCAGACCAUGUGUCCUCUCUCCCUGACUUCAGGGCAGCAUCAAAGCUCUUGAGUUUGAACUGACCCUGAAAUCCACUAGAUACUGUUGCUUUAAUAUAAUAUUAUGUGUAUUCAUUUCCUAUUGCUGCCAAACCAAUGAUCACAACUUGGUGGCUUAGAACAACAUACAUUUAUUCUCUUAUAUUUCAGGGGUUCAGAAGUCCAAAAUGGGUUUCCCCCCUGGCAAGAUCAAGGUGUUAGCAGAGCUGCACACCCUCUGGAGGCUGUAAGGGAGAAUCCAAUUCCUUGACUUCCAUCUUCUAAAGUUUCAUUCCUUGUUCUGUUAUUGGAAUUAAAGGUCCUUGCUGCUUACAGCUCCACUGAAAACUUGGGGAGACAGAAAUUACAGGAAGAGAAUAGGUUUAUUCAAGAGCGACUCUGAAGAAGAUAGAGACAUUUUUAUCUCAAAUCUUCAUCUCCAGGUGGAAGAAAAGAGGGUAUUUUGAGUCAGUGGGCAGGAAAUUCACAAUGCUAGGUGGGAGUCUUCCUCUUCAAAGUGUACCUUUGUACCUCUGUGGCUCUGUUGACUUUCUCCCUCCUCAGAACAUCAAAAGGAAAUUCAACCUCCUGGGGCCACAUUCUGCAU